UAAAUGUGACCAAGCCUUCUGUACU
Molecule: non-coding RNA, 25 nt
Filed under: Cricetulus griseus (Chinese hamster)
Lineage: Eukaryota; Metazoa; Chordata; Mammalia; Rodentia; Cricetidae
Source: RNAcentral